RNAcentral lists this ribosomal RNA (364 nucleotides) under uncultured organism. RNAcentral describes it as "bacterial SSU rRNA". It matches the Rfam family "Bacterial small subunit ribosomal RNA", at positions 527 to 896 of the family's 1533-position model. The record is from RNAcentral.
GGAGGAUCCAAGCGUUAUCCGGAAUCAUUGGGUUUAAAGGGUCCGUAGGCGGUUUAGUAAGUCAGUGGUGAAAGCCCAUCGCUCAACGGUGGAACGGCCAUUGAUACUGCUAGACUUGAAUUAUUAGGAAGUAACUAGAAUAUGUAGUGUAGCGGUGAAAUGCUUAGAGAUUACAUGGAAUACCAAUUGCGAAGGCAGGUUACUACUAAUGGAUGACGCUGAUGGACGAAAGCGUGGGUAGCGAACAGGAUUAGAUACCCUGGUAGUCCACGCCGUAAACGAUGGAUACUAGCUGUUGGGAGCGAUCUCAGUGGCUAAGCGAAAGUGAUAAGUAUCCCACCUGGGGAGUACGUUCGCAAGAAUG